RNAcentral lists this long non-coding RNA (731 nucleotides) under Mytilus galloprovincialis (Mediterranean mussel). The record is from RNAcentral. Lineage: Eukaryota; Metazoa; Mollusca; Bivalvia; Mytilida; Mytilidae.
AUAUUAUGAUCUAUAUGUCAGUCCCGCAGGUUUUAUUUGACCAUGACCUCAAUUGCACGGUUCAUUGCACAGUGUUAAGUUUCUGUGUUUUGGUCUAUUUUUCUUAAACUAUAAGUAGUAGGUCAACUAUAUUUGUUGUAUGGAAGCUUUGUUAGCUGUACAUGUCUGCCUGGCAUGGUUCAUCUGACCUUGACCUCAUUUUCAUGGUUCAUUGGUCUUUGUUUAGCUAUCUUGGUUAAUGUUAAGUUUAUGUGACAGUUGUAAUAAAGCUUUAUACUUAGGACUAUCAACAUAAUAUCAAUGAUUACUAAAGAAGGCGAGACAUUUCAGUGUGUGCACUCUUGUUAAAAUCAAACUGAAAAUUCCAUCAGUACCAGAACAAAUUUUGAUGAUCAUUGCCUUUUUACUUUUAUCAGUAGCAGUAUUAAUUUAGGAGCACUAUACUAGGAUCUGGAAAGGGUUUUGAAAAUAGAGAAUUAGGAACUAAAAAUUAAAAUAAGGGGAAAAUGAGCCCAAAAAAAAAAUUUGGUGCUGAAAUAUAAAGAAUAGAGAAAAAAACAGCCAUUCAAAAUAAACAAAUAAAGAAACAAAGAACCUCAUACAUAUAUGUGUAUCAGUAUUUGAAUGGUUUUAUGUGUGCUUCAUAAUUGAAUUGUUAGAGUUUGUUAAGUUUUAUAUACGUUAUUUAUCCAUAUAAAUGAUAUUUUGUUUUUUCUAUGUAUUUUUGUCCC